This 604-nucleotide ribosomal RNA is filed under the name Salmonella enterica subsp. enterica serovar Coeln. Its description in RNAcentral is "partial 23S ribosomal RNA". It matches the Rfam family "Bacterial large subunit ribosomal RNA", at positions 1154 to 1733 of the family's 2925-position model. The record is from RNAcentral. Lineage: Bacteria; Pseudomonadati; Pseudomonadota; Gammaproteobacteria; Enterobacterales; Enterobacteriaceae.
CGUAUCACCCAAGACAACUUUACGGAGUUGACGAUUGACGGAGCGAAGCGACGUCAAAGCGUUCAUUAAAGUCGAGUUGGCUUAGGGAUACGUUCGUUGGGUAGGGGAGCGUUCUGUAAGCCUGUGAAGGUGUGUCGUGAGGCAUGCUGGAGGUAUCAGAAGUGCGAAUGCUGACAUAAGUAACGAUAAAGCGGGUGAAAAGCCCGCUCGCCGGAAGACCAAGGGUUCCUGUCCAACGUUAAUCGGGGCAGGGUGAGUCGACCCCUAAGGCGAGGCCGAAAGGCGUAGUCGAUGGGAAACGGGUUAAUAUUCCCGUACUUGGUGUUACUGCGAAGGGGGGACGGAGAAGGCUAUGUUGGCCGGGCGACGGUUGUCCCGGUUUAAGCGUGUAGGCUGGUUUUCCAGGCAAAUCCGGAAAAUCAAGGCUGAGGCGUGACGACGAGGCACUACGGUGCUGAAGCAACAAAUGCCCUGCUUCCAGGAAAAGCCUCUAAGCAUCAGGUAACAUCAAAUCGUACCCCAAACCGACACAGGUGGUCAGGUAGAGAAUACCAAGGCGCUUGAGAGAACUCGGGUGAAGGAACUAGGCAAAAUGGUGCCGUAA